GUAUCCCCAGAUCCUAUUCGGGAGAUGCUUCCGGCAACCAAAAAGCCGAAGCUGAAGAAGGCCAGGAAAGCAAUGAAGGGUCUUGUUCCAGCAGUAAAACGCCUGAGAAAAUUAAAAUCUCGUUCUCCAUGAUUUUUUUGAGGUUGUUAUAUGAUGAUAUCUAGGUGACAUAUUGGUCAUACUCAUACCUUUUGUUAGUAGUUAGGAAAUUGUUCGAAGUUUAUUGUCAUAAUUGAUCUCAGGACCAUGUUUAAGGCUAAUUGAUUUGAAGUCAAGGCUAUAGCUCACUAUUAUCAUGUAAGCGAUCAUGGGUUCAUCGAUUUUUCACUGCCAAGCAAUGUUAUGAUUUAUGAG
RNAcentral lists this long non-coding RNA (354 nucleotides) under Lupinus angustifolius (narrow-leaved blue lupine). RNAcentral's name for it is "long non-coding RNA (LANG_LNC002023)". The record is from RNAcentral. Lineage: Eukaryota; Viridiplantae; Streptophyta; Magnoliopsida; Fabales; Fabaceae.